GCUUACUUAGCUCAGUUGGUUAGAGCGCGACUUUCAUAAGGUCGAGGUCGACGGUUCGAUCCCGUCAGUGAGCA
RNAcentral lists this transfer RNA (74 nucleotides) under Acanthocystis turfacea Chlorella virus Canal-1. Its description in RNAcentral is "tRNA-Met". It matches the Rfam family "tRNA". Rfam says of the family: Transfer RNA (tRNA) molecules are approximately 80 nucleotides in length. Their secondary structure includes four short double-helical elements and three loops (D, anti-codon, and T loops). Further hydrogen bonds mediate the characteristic L-shaped molecular structure. tRNAs have two regions of fundamental functional importance: the anti-codon, which is responsible for specific mRNA codon recognition, and the 3' end, to which the tRNAs corresponding amino acid is attached (by aminoacyl-tRNA synthetases). tRNAs cope with the degeneracy of the genetic code in two manners: having more than one tRNA (with a specific anti-codon) for a particular amino acid; and 'wobble' base-pairing, i.e. permitting non-standard base-pairing at the 3rd anti-codon position. RNAcentral also lists the same sequence under 1 other name. The record is from RNAcentral. Lineage: Varidnaviria; Bamfordvirae; Nucleocytoviricota; Megaviricetes; Algavirales; Phycodnaviridae.